Molecule: ribosomal RNA, 441 nt
Filed under: uncultured bacterium
Lineage: Bacteria
Description: bacterial SSU rRNA
Rfam family: Bacterial small subunit ribosomal RNA
Source: RNAcentral
GAUGAACGCUAGCGGGAUGCUUUACACAUGCAAGUCGAGCGGAAAGGUCUCUUCGGAGAUACUCGAGCGGCAAACGGCUGAGUAUAAUGCAGGAAUCUUGCUUUAGUUGGGUAUAGCUAAUUGAAAAAUUAGGUAAUCCCCGAUGUGGACUACGGUCUAAAGCCUUCGGGCGCUAAAGUCGGAGCCUGCACCCCAUCAGGUAGUUGGUAAGGUAAAAGCUUACCAAGCCUAAGACGGGUAGCUGAUCUGAGAGGAUGAUCAGCCAGACUGGAACUGCGACACGGUCCAGACACCUACGGGUGGCAGCAGUGGGGAAUCUUGCGCAAUGGGCGAAAGCCUGACGCAGCAAUCCCGCGUGGAGGAUGAAGGCCUUUCGGUCGUAAACUCCUGUGGAAAUUUAAUAAUACUGAAUGAAUUUCUAGAAAGUGGUUGCUAACUCUG